This 4499-nucleotide long non-coding RNA is filed under the name Haliotis rufescens (red abalone). RNAcentral's name for it is "uncharacterized LOC124134086". Lineage: Eukaryota; Metazoa; Mollusca; Gastropoda; Lepetellida; Haliotidae. The record is from RNAcentral.
GUUAUUCCGAAACCUACGUCAAGGGAUUUCGCCUGAGGAAACAAGUACUGUGCACUGUUUGGACUUUUCGUCAAUGGCUCAAGUUCUGGUUGGCUUUUUGUCAAACUAAAAGUACCAUGGGAUGCAAAUCCAAUCCAAAGGACGCAGACAUGCAAAAGGAGAGCUCGCAGCGGGAAGAUAUUGUCACAGACUGUGAAUCACGCACCUCACAUUCGACUGGGCAGGAUAGAAGUCCCCAGUCUAACACAGUGCCAAACUCCAACAUAUCAAGUGGCCCACAGAACACACUUGCAGUGCCAACAACCCCGGUUAGACCAGCACACCAACAUAUGCACCACAGCUCAACUGACCCCCAUCUGCAUGGUUCUCGACCCCAUAGUGCACACCUCCAUCAUCGACUGAUGGGACGGAUUCUACGAGGAAUGGGCGAUAGCUAUUGUUACAGUUGUGGUAUAGCACUGCGACAGAUGGGUGACGAACUAUCAGGGGAGUAUGAAGUUCGGAGGGCAUUAAGUACAGGAGAUUUGCCCAAUUCCAUAAAAAAUUCCUGACAAUCAUAUGUGCCUGUGUUUUAUUGAGUGAUCAUACUUCAUCAUUCCUGGUAUCUGGCUCCCCAUCCGAACAAUGAAGACGUGAUACCAACCUCGACCUGAUUUACAGGAUCCCAGAUGCCAAAUUAAAAAAUGUACAUUGAUUUAAUGAAUUGAGAGUCUCCCAAAAAUUAUAUUUAUGUCAAGUUUUAAUUUAUCAAAAUGGCCAAAUGAUGCUGAUGGCAUUUCAUAAUCAACACUUAUCUAAUGAAGAUGUCAGACUACUGAGUCAAACGGAUGUUACUGUCAGUCUGUGUGUUGCAAGUAAUUUAUCGUCAUGAAUAUUGCACAGUAUUGCUAUUUUGCCUUUUAUUUUUUUUAUUGGUUAUGUUUGUAGACAUAUAUAUAUGAAAUGGGCACUUGACUGUCCCCAAAACAAUGCUCAUCAUUGGAAAUAGCUUGUACCAUGUAUACAGAAAAUGUACAAAGUAGUGUUCAUAUUACCAUUGAAUAUGCUUGAAGCAAAGUAAAUAAUGGGUUUAAUAUUUAUCAUGAAUUGUUUGGAUUGGAUGAAGUUGAUAUUUACCUUUAGCCAAAAGUUUUUUGUUUGUCGUUAACUUUACUGAAUUAUGAGCAUACAUACUUUUGUCUUUUAUCAUGAAAGUUUUAUGCAUUGACAUUCACUAUGAGAAUAUAAAAUGAUUGGAAGAUAACUGUAUUCUUAUCGGAAAUCUUAAUCCACAUUUUCCUAUAUUUAGGUGAAAUGAAAAUUUGUAUUUAUGUAAGGUUGUCUUCUGGUCUGUAUUAAUUAUGAUUAAAAAUAUUUUAUUUUUCUAACCAAGGUGUUUUAAGAAAUCUAGUUUUUAUAUUUUAUGGUUUGGUUGGAAGAUAGUCAGAUUGCUCUACCUAUGCCUGCACCUGGUGCAUACUUUACAGGAAAUAUUAAGCUUAAAAAUAAUAGAAAUUUCUUUGCCACUUACAAACCAGCAAACCUGCUUUAACAACAGUUAGGAAGAGGCUCUUUGUAAACUCCCCUUCAAGGUGUUCAGUGAUAGUAUCUGUUUCUGGAAACUCACAAUACAUGUAGUAACAAGCCUUGUCCAAGUGAUGAUGGUCGCUAUUGUUACAGCUGUGGUAAAAUAACAGUGAUAUAAAACAUAAUAUGAGCUUCAAUCCACCAUGUCAAAUAUCUUCAGUUUUACCUCUGGUCUAAUGAUAAAGUCAUGCUUCCUGUUUACAACUGAAUUGUUAUGAAUAUGUCCACACAGAUUUAGCAUGUUUCAGGAGUAAACAUUGUAUUUUUGUUUAGAAAAGUGGCACACUAUCUCAUAGUACUACCAAUACUAUACUAGAAGUACUAAAGCAGAGAGAAAUAUAACUGAGUACCACAAGGUUGUUUAUUUAUGAUCAUGAAGUCAUACUUUUGUUUAUUUCUUGAAGGGUAAAACACACUGAAAAAAUCCCCUCCAUGAUAACUGACCCAUUAGUGCUGCCACAUCACAGAGACACUUGUUCAAAGUAUUCCAGAAAGUAUUUCCCCAAACCUUCCAGUAUUUUGUCUUGUGCAUCUCACAAAUAUGGAUGCCUGUUGGCCGUCGUAUCAUGGUGUUUGUAGGUACCGUAUUCACCAUAAUAAGCACACUGAGUACUUAGAUUAGUGACAAAGCGAGGCAUUUGUCAUUUAAUGAUUUAUUAUAUUUCUUGUCAGAGGUUGAGUGGUAGUGAUCAAGCUUAGUUCAAAAGUUGUUAAAACUAAAUGAAGUUAAAACCUUUUCGAUAAUAAAUACCAGGCAAAUAUAUACCCCUCUUUGCUGUUUUCUGUAAAAAAUAUGGACUGUUAAAUUAUUCAGGGUGACAACAAAGAUGACUGGUUGGUCAGGGGUAGCUUAUUGAAGUAGGGUUUUUAAGACGGCAAAGUGUAUUUUGUUGUAUUUUGGGGGGGCCAAUCUUCUUUCAUUGUUUGUCAUCACCACUCAACCAAUGUUUAUUUCAAAUCAAAAAUAAUUUAUUUUAUUCUCACCUAUCAUGUCCAUUCCAAAUUAGAACUGUUCGGACCUUUUAACAACUGCUGUGAAACAAGGAACAAUUAGAAAUGUCAGAGUUAUGUCCCCUGAUAUGACAGAGUCAGUCUCUUAAGACAAGUAAAGGUUACAUAUGAAGAGAAAUGGAAAGGUUCUCAGUCCCAAAUGUUUUAUAAGAAGUGUUAUCUAAAGGGUCUUUCAACAUUAUCACUGGGACUAGGUAUAGGGAGUUAUAAAUGAAAGGUAUAUGUAAUGAAAGGUUCAUGUAAAGAACAUACAUCAACCCAAAUAUUAUUAAUGGUUGUUAGUAAAUUAGCACAUUGAGUAUUUUUUUACAUUUUUAUUGUUUUUGUGACCUGAUAAUUGCUCAUGGUCACUGAAAGUGGCACCAUUGUGCUGCUGUACAAUGCAGGUCUUCCAGCUGUCAGGUCCAUCAGAUACUGUGAUGUAUAAUAAUCUGGAGUGUAUACACUGUAGCCAUUAGGACUACAUGAAGUUCAACAAACUCCACCAGGCUCCUGGCAUACCUGUACGUAUGACCACUAGCCUGAACUAAAGACUAGUAAAUAUCUGCUGGGCUAGUGAACAUAGCUAAAUAUCCGUUUGUUGAACAGUUUGAUAGUUAUGUCCACAGCAUUAGACAGUGUGUGACAGUAAACUGUGAUAAUGAACAUAUUCCUUUUAUGAAAAUAUCCUGGCAUUAGCGGAAUGGCAAAACUGAUUGGCUUGCUUCUUGCACUUUAUUUCUAUUGUGCUUGUACUUGGAACCACAGGGUAGUCCAAUCUGUUUGACCCAGGAGACUUAUGUGAAGAUUAGAUUCAGUGAUUUAUGAAAGGAUUUAAAUUUUGAAACAGAGAUCUUUAUUUGCAUGUUUCUAAAUACUUUCAUAUGCUAUAAAAUCAAAAUUAUGAUAAUCCAGGUUAGAAUAGUUACAUUGAAAAGUGGAGUGAUUCUGUCAAAUGAAACAGCAUUCAAAAUGGAAAGUCAGGAGUAUUUGCUAUGAUGCGCCUCUUACACUUUGUCAACUGAUUAAAUAUUUUUCAAUGUGCAUUGGCGGUGACCCAAAUUGUAGAGGUGAUGUUUUCUGAAAAUAUACCUUAUAGAUAACUGAUAAGAUGAAUCUUGAGAUUGACUGCACUUUGAGACUGGUAGAAGGUAAAAGUAUUACUCCUUCAGUGAUGAAUCAGCAAUUCAAUGGGUAGAAUUGUUAAAAAGGGUGUGUAUAAUUGGUCUUGGUUGUAUAGUUACUGAUAAUGUAACAUGUUGCCAAAAAUAAUUGGUCAAGAAUUGGACAUAUUGUGUUCUGACUUAGAUUUAGGAUCAGAUAUGGUUUAUGUAACCAUGGUUACUGCUAGAAGAGUAUUUUAAGUGAUGCCUUUGAUCACAGGAAUAAAGUGACAUGGAAAUGUCCAGAUGAUCAAAUUCCAGAUUUAUAAUCAUGGUUUAGAGGUCAUGACCCUUUUAAUUAUAUUUGUCUUUCCCAAAUCUUGCUCCAGAAGGAGGGGUUUCUGGACUUAAGGGGGUUUGGAGUAACACGAUUUCACCGUUGUCACUUUUGCAAAAUGGCAACAUUAUUACUUAAGAAACUUAAUAACACAUGUUGUUUUCCAAUAAAAGAUUGGUGAAUGAGUGACAAUGAAGUUAAUGACUAUGUCAGUGACUUGUGACUUGUACAUCAUGAACAGUCUUUACCUAUGUGUUUACUGAUUUGUUUCUCCUGUUUUGUUGAAGUGUUUAGACAUGCUUCCUGAAAACUGAUAAAUAUUUUCGGUACAUGGAAGUCGUUACCAUGGUUACAAAUGGCUUCUUUGAUGCUGCAGUGUUUUAAGUACAUAGAUACCAGCUUUAGGGUGUUUCUUUCAUUGUGUUUCUGUUAUUGAAACAAGUAUGUCUGGAGUGAUGAAAUGAUUCCUCUUGUAAAUAAAGUUUCAUGUCAUCCACGUUUCA